Molecule: long non-coding RNA, 5124 nt
Filed under: Solanum pimpinellifolium
Lineage: Eukaryota; Viridiplantae; Streptophyta; Magnoliopsida; Solanales; Solanaceae
Description: long non-coding RNA (SPIM_LNC000255)
Source: RNAcentral
UACUACUCAGCUAGCAGUUAAGGGAGCUAAGGUUUUAGUUCUAGAGAAGUAUGUUAUUCCUGGUGGAAGCUCCGGCUUUUACGAGUGGGAUAGUUAUACAUUUGAUGUUGGUUCAUCAGUGAUGUUUGGGUUUUGUGAUAAGGGAAACCUCAAUUUAAUUACUCAAGCAUUGGCAGCAGUAGGACGUAAACUAGAAGUUAUACCUGAUCCAACAACUGUUCAUUUCCACCUGCCAAAUGACCUUUCUAUUCAUAUACACCGAGAAUAUGAUGACUUCAUUGAAGAGCUUAUGAGUAAAUUUCCACAUGAAAAGGAAGGGAUUAUCAAAUUCUAUAGUGCAUGCUGGAAGAUCUUUAAUUCUCUGAAUUUGUUGGAGCUGAAAUCUUUGGAGGAACCCAUCUAUCUUUUUGGCCUGUUUUUGAAAAAGUCGUUGAAUUCUUGACUCUCGACGUUGAAUAUCCGAAUGUGUAAGUUGGAUUGACUUUACGUUUGGAUUAGUUGAUGGAGUAAUUAAGGUAUGUAAAACACUUUAUUCUGUGGCAUGACAAUAGUGUGCAUUAUUCUCUAUUUUUUUAAUUAUUAAAUAAAAACUAUUUUGCUGCUCUGUUUCUUCUUCAGUUUCUCUAUGUCUGCAACUGUGUUAGACUGCUAGGAUAGUGUUGAAGAAUUUGAUAUUGAUUAGAGAUAAAACCUCUAAGAUUAUUUCAUCCAAAAAGGAAUUCUUCUACGUUGGGCAUUGUAUGAUCUAAAUAUGAACAUUAGAGUAUCUGAAAGCUUGUUUGUGUAAGUUCUAGGGACUUUAGUGAUGACAUGUUGAAAUGCCUGCAGCGACAGAACCAGUUAACUCAUUUUUUGACAAAUUUAGCCUCUUUAGUUUCAUCAGACUACUUGGGGAAAUAUAUGAGUUACCAGUUUAAUGCAAGAGAGAGAAGAAAAAUAAUUUGUAACCUUAUUGUGAGGAAAUAUCAUACUACCUUUCAAGGGUUGUCAUGUACUUAUGGACAUGUAUGGUUGAACUUUAGUUGUAAUUCUAUUUGAAGUUUAAUGGGAACAAAUGGGAGAACAACUGUCUACAAGGGCUGUUAGGCGUAGUUUAUGUAAGGUAUUAGAUGUUGUUAUUAGCAUUAAGAUUUCCUGGUAAGUAGUUUGUGCUUUAGUCAGGUGUCUCAAGUUACACAGAAAAAGGGGGAAUAAUGAAUGGAAUGUAAGCCUGCAUUACAUGGACUUGGAUAUUGUUAUGUAGACGUGUACUUCAAGUUUUACUAAGCUUUUUUUGUGUUGAAGGAUAUACGAUAUGCGUACCCUUGUUUUAACUAUUAACUCUAGAUUAGGAGUUCCAUUUCUGAUGUCUGAAAUUAUUGCUACAUAAUUUAUCUUAUUUUUACAUCCUUUGGGUGAUCUUAGAUUGAAAUAUAUUAAUAUACUCUUGAAUAUUUUCAGUAGUUGUAUGCUGCAAAGAACGAAGACUUUGUGUUUUGAAGUAGUUAGUUGGUUUAUAAUUGUUAGGGGGAGUGUAAAACACUUAAAUAUAUCAUCACCCUAAGAAGCCAACAAGGAACAGUAGUAGACAAAGGCAGAUGAUAUAACAGUGUACACAUGGAUUUUUGAAAUAUAGUUGAGCAUAAUAAGAAUAUAUCCUAUACCGUACAUUGUGUUCCAAUGUGUUGGACCAUGAGGCUUUCUAUUGUAGUCUCAACCUUCAGUUUGAAUACCAGGCUGACAAAUUUAGUUAUCAUUCAUAUUCUCUGGGGCUAGCAUUACUAGGCUUUAGAACAGAUUGAGCUUAUUGUUUUCUUUUCCGUUUGCUGCAGUACAUCUUUCUUUUGCAGCAAAGACGUUCUCAAUUUUGUGAAACCAGUUUGUUGAUUCAUUUUUUUGUAAAAUUUCUGUGUUUUCUAUGGACUUUAAUUCUUGAAAUUUAUUAAAUUUAAAGUUUAUAAAUUGUAAGAACAUGUAUAACUUGAUAAGUUUUAAAGGAAUUUAUUCUCUAAUAAUUAUUAUUUUGAUCUCGAGUAUAACUUUGUCUCUGCAUAUGAAUGUUUUACUUAUGUUUGGGAUUUGUGGUGAUGAUUGUGUGCAUAUGACUUACUCCGGAGUUAGGCUAUUUUAAAGGUGGGUUCGGGGAUGGCAAUACGUAACGCCUGGCUCACUUGUCUGUUAUGUGGUAUUGAUGCUAUGUUACGCUGGGUGAGUAUGGGGAGGGCGAUACGCAACGUCCAACUCACACUGGUUGCUUCUGUAUUUUGAUAGGUGAGUACGAGGACAGUGAUACAUAACGCCCGACUCACCUAUGCUGAGCAUGGGAGAUAGUGAUGCGAUACGUAACUCCUGGCUCGCUUACGCUAUUUCUGUAUGAUGGUAUGUGGGGCAGGGAUGGCGAUACAUAACGCCUGACUCACUUAGCUUAUGGUUGAUAUGUUAGGAAAGUAAAUGCUUGUUACUUGAAUUCGAAUCUUGAAAGUAGACAUUUUGAUAUUUUUGGAUAUAUACUGCUCUCUGUACUUUUGUUUCAGAUACCCCUCAGUUUCAUAUAUUAGGAAGGAAGUAUGUAAUAAUUUGGAUAUGCGCUUACCGUUAUACUUUGGCCUUGUUUGCCAUACACAAUAUAUUUUGGUAAGUACUUUGAUAUAUUUUGGGUAUGCAUUUAACCAUUGUACUUUUGUUUUAAUGGUUGUCCUGAUAUGUAUAUAUAUACUCUAUACUUUCUACUUUACAUAUUUGGUAAGUAUUUCGUACUGACCUCCCCGCCUUUUCGGGGGCUGUGUUUCAUGCCCGUAGGUACAGACGUUCAGGUGAGAGAUCCUCCAGCUUAGGAUUUUGUCUGCUAUUUAAAGUGCUUCUUUGUUUCUGAGCAAACCUUGGGUAUAUACACCUCUUUACUAUUUUGUAUUUCUGUACGUUCGAGGGUACGAGGGGGCCCUGUCCUGUCUUCUGAUUCAGUUUGUGUAGUUAGAGGUCUGUGAACGCCUGUGAGUAUAGAAUAUAGAAGUUUGUAUGAUUAUGUACGUAUGCUAUGUGUAUGUUGGGCGGUUUAUCCAUAGCGGUGACCUUGUCGGCCCACACGCAUACAUAUAUAUAUAUAUAUGUUUGUUGUAUGCUGGGAUUCUUCUGUAUGCAGAAUUUAGAUAGUCAAUAAAACAAAAGAAACUCUGUCAAAAUUUCUAUAAAAUACGAUUUGUAUUUAUUAUCUGGCUUUGUAUUUACGUCUGGGUGCCUAAUUCGGGCACUAGUCAUGGUCCACGGGGUUGGAUCGUGAUAGAAGUGGUAUUAGAGCAGUUAGUACUCAGAGUGUCCAUAGACCGUGUUUAGUAGAGUCUUGUUUAUCGGUGUGUCGUGCCCCACAUCUAUAAACAGGAGGCUACAGGACAUUUAGGAUGUUACUUUUCCUUUUGAUCCUAGAUCGUGCGUUAAGAGCGGUGUUAGUAGGAUGAUCCCCCCUUACGUAGUUCCCGUGCCUAUAAGUAACUCAACUUCUUUGUUUAAAUGUGAUGUACGUUAACUAAGUUGAGGUGUGAUAACUAAGUUGUUAAUUGUUAAAUGGGGUAUUAUGAAAGUUGGAACUCAUAAGGUUAAUGUAACAUUCGAGGACGAAUGUUCUAAAGGGGGGGAGGAUGUUAGAACCCGUAUUGUAGUGUAUUGGAACCGUUACAAAAAUUGGGACUAAUGUUGCAUUCUUGGAAAAUUCGGGACUUAAGUGACAUUAUUGGAAAAAUUGGGGACUCAGGUAGAAUUUUUAAAACUUGGGUGAUUAGGAUUGGUAUGUCUUUAAUUGUAUCCUUGUAUGUCCUUAAUUGAUUCAUGUAGGAAAAGUUUAGUUACCAAAGUGUAAUUUCCUAGACUUGGAGCCUAGAAGAUUUAUUGUCAUGACCCACCUUAAUGGUGUUAGCUUCCUAUUGGACCAUGUGUGAGAGGUGGGGCCAAGUUAUGGUCUACAUAUAUGUAUACCUCUUGUACAAGAUCUUUAUCCAAAAACACUUAGAAAAAAAAAAGAGGAAUCAUGCCAAUCCACUUCUCUUUCCAUUUCAAGCACUAAAAACAAGAGAAGAACCCUUCAGUUUGCUGACCUCAUCAAAAUCCACCAAAAUACUCCUCUCACUUUGCUCAUAUACUUUGCUCAUCUAUAGGUUGAGGCCUCAGAGUUGUCAAAAUUCCAUUUCUAUACUUGGUACAUCUAAUCUUGUAUUUUCAACAACCUAUAGUGAUUCAAGAUUUUACAAUUCCGUGUGUUUUUGCAGUUGCAGAAGUAAAGAGUCAUCAAGAUUCCAUUUAUGUAGUUUAUGGUGUCUGCAAUUUUGGAUUUUCAAUAAUUUAAAGCAAAAACAAAGACAAUCUUUUUGGAUUUCUCAGUUAAAAGAAUUCGAUAGCUUGAAACCCACAAGGCAAAAGUUCAAGUCUUGUUUGGUUAACUUUCCAGGAAACCCAAAUUUUGUGAAAUACAGAAAUGGGUACUUUGAAUUUUCCAUUUCCCAAUUCACUUGUUGAUAGUACUUGCAAAAAUUGUAGCUUUGGGUGAUAACAAACCUAGAUACAAUAAAUAAAAAAGUUCUUGUUUUGACCUUUUGAGAUUUAGAAAUUGUUCUGAUUACCAACAACUUUAUGGCUUGAGUUGGGGGUGGAAAAGGUUAAGGGAAGAAAAGGAAGUACUAUUUCCAAUUUGAAAGCAGUUGUAGAUAUAGACAAGAAAGUGAGGAGCUAGGGAAAUACUGAUGUAGAAGGAAAUGAGAGUGAGAGGUAUGAUGCCAUUGUAAUAGGGUCUGGAAUAGGUGGAUUGGUGGUAGCAACACAGCUAGCAGUUAAGCGAUCUAACGUUUUAGUUCUGGAGAAGUAUGUUAUUCCUGGUGGAAGCUCCGGCUUUUACGAGAGGGAUGGUUAUACAUUUGAUUUUGGUUCAUCAGUGAUGUUUGGGUUUAGUGAUAAGGGAAACCUCAAUUUAAUUACUCAAACAUUGGCAGCAGUAGGACAUAAACUAGAAGUUAUACCUGAUCCAACAAUUGUUCAUUUCCACCUGCCAAAUGACCUUUCUGUUCGUAGAAUAUGAUGACUUCAUUGAAGAGCUUGUGAGUGAUUUUCCACAUGAAAAGGAAGGGAUUAUCAAAUUAUAUAGUGAAUGCUGGAAGAUCUUUA